GCCUCCUUAGCUCAGUGGUAGAGCGCGUCACUUGUAAUGACGAGGUCAGUCGUUCAACCGGCUAGGUGGCA
Molecule: non-coding RNA, 71 nt
Organism: Mucidula mucida
Lineage: Eukaryota; Fungi; Basidiomycota; Agaricomycetes; Agaricales; Physalacriaceae
Source: the annotation of a GenBank genome assembly